Molecule: long non-coding RNA, 943 nt
Organism: Rhipicephalus microplus (southern cattle tick)
Lineage: Eukaryota; Metazoa; Arthropoda; Arachnida; Ixodida; Ixodidae
Source: RefSeq, a predicted model, not a curated record
GCAGAGCUCUACGGCGAGCCUCGGCAGGCAUGGUCACAGCAGAAAAGGCCCAGUCACGGCGAUUUAAAUCUAAGGUAACUCGGACCGAGGGCACCACCGAGUGCUACACAGACGGCUCUUCACGGGGCUGCACUCUGUUCCUGUCAGUGACAUCUGGUGGCUUGGCAUCGGCCCAGGUACAGUGUUGCUGAAACUGUGUCAUUUUGCUACAAUGAGCACCAAGCUGCGCCGAGCGUCGUAAAGGUUGCGUUGAGACAAAGUUUAUUGUUCUGUUCCUCCACACAUCGAGGGAGUUGUUUGCCCGAUAGUCUUGUAAAGUUUUCUAAAUAGCUGCAGAUCAGCUUGCCUCUACUUCUUUGUGCCAGCGCAGUGCACGUGGUAAACAGGGUCCUCAUACUAGUCAUUUUUGUAUCUGUGGCAGUUUCUCAACCAGAGAAAGUCCAACGCGACGCUACGACUUGGGACAUGUCCGAGAGUAGAACUCAUUCUGACUGUGUUGGAAAACUUGUGAUCUUUUUAUUCUCAGUCAAUUCUCAGUCUGUGCUACCACCUUAUCAAAAGCUCGGGGUUGCACUUGUUUUACCAUGGGCACACUUUUCUCUAUUUGGUAGUUUCGUGUGACGACAUCACCACGUGAUGCCAUCUUAUGUGAUGUCAAAAUUAUACUGUCAACUGCUGAUUUUUCGGACCCUCUAGGGAGCUAAAAUCGUACGAAAAUUCGGGCAGUCCGAAAAAAAUGAAUGCUAGCUAAAAAAACGCACCAUUCCAUUGAUGUUUCUCGGAUCAAGAGGGUCGAGGUCGAAGUACACCAGACUUCCGGAACUCUGCCAAAGCAUCAGUGAGGUGGCUCUGAAAAGAGCCGUUAAAAUAAUGCAUGCAGCCGACAGCGGGUGCCGUCAGUGCAGCCGGUGCUAGAGCUGCAGUGGCUUGAAAAACUUGUUGA